UACACAAUUGGAAGGGCAACAAGUCCUCCAACUCAUACGACCGUAUGGGUCGUUUGUCACUAUCCAUAAAUACGACCCACACGAGCGUUCUCUAAAUUAGCGCCCCUAUUGGCAACAGGAGGUAUGAUAAAUGAACUUUCGCCUAAAUGCAUUGUGGGUUUAUUUUAACAUGUUUGCUAUUUGCGUUUUGAAUUGUUUGAUUUAAACUCUCCCAGAUGUUCGUGGAUUUUGAUGAUAUGGAUUUUAGAUGACUUCGAGACAUGUACAGGUAAGGUUUUCUCCCGUCUCAUAAAGUAGUCGAUCGUUUAUGAAUAAUAUGAGUUUUUAUUUUCAAAUCGAUACUGGACACUGUAUGUCCUAUUAAACCAGUUUGACGUUCAAAUCAUUUAAUCGAAAUCUGCAGCUUUAUAAAGUUAGUUUUCAUUGUGAUAUUCGUUUGAAAUUCGCCUGUGGUGGAAAGAGGUCAUGUAAAAGUUGCGCAUUUACCAUGUUUUUACCAUAGUAACAUGUCGCUGAACCAUGUCACGUGUUAUAAAACCUCAGUAACCACAACUCAAUGUAUCUCCCGUCAUAACUGUAGUUUUACUUUGGUAUUUGUAGUAUAAACACGUUACCAUGCUUUUCACCACAGUAACUGUGCUUAUUGUGUACUCUUUAGUUAAGUAACACAUUUGCCAUGCCUUUAAUACCUUUUUGUAAUGUAAUUGUGAUUCAGUGUUUUUUUUCUUUUCAGUUUUGCAGUUUCUUCAUAUCACAUACAUCUCCAGCUCCUACAACAACAUUCAGUGACCAGCAGCUCUUUAUGAUGCUCUCUCUCUCUCUCUCUCUCUCUCUCUCUCUCUCUCUCUUUCUCUCUCACUCUCUCUCUCUCUCUCUCUCUCUCUCUCUCAUUUUCGUUUCCUAUUUUUCUGAACUGUAAUUCAUAAAUAAGUCACACAUAUUUUUCUUUCUUUCUCUUGUUCAUCAUGGCAUAUUUUCACAGCUCAGAAUCAGAUUUUGAUCAGUUCUUGUAUUAACAGGGAACUUGUACUCGAAGCUCAACUUGAAGAAGUUUCCAGUGAAGAUGAAGUCCUUCAAAGGUUCGACACAGCUGAAAAGGAAGACCAUGGGCCUGUCAAACCUUGUUUGUGGAGAGGGAUGAAUUUGACCAUCUUGUGUGUUUACGGAGAAGACCAAAAGCUGCUAAGGCAGAUAUUUCCAGAGGUACAAACAGAGCGGAUGGUUGCAUGAUGGCCUCUUUCAGGUUUGUCAACUGAACGUCUACUAGUGUGGCUCAGCAAGUUCCUGUCAUGAUCAGCCCUCUCCAAGAAAGCUGAAGAGCAAAAACACAAAGAACAUCAGUCCUGUUGGGGAUGAGGAAUGAACAUGGCUCUAUUGUGCCCAAACAGAAAAGAGUGAAAAGUCCUAGAAUGAACAAAUCAUCAGGGCAUCAUUUCUGGAAUUUGGGCAGAAAAUGACUGAAUAUGAAAGACUGCAGUAGAAGGAAAGCUGGUACUGAGAACAUUUGUCUUCACUCCAGACUAAAGAGAAGCGGGUCUGAGGCCAGAGAUGGACGAGUCAAUGGUCACCAAAUGCAGCGCUGCAGCCUGAAACUGUGAAGACUGGAUUCCCAAACAGCUGUGUGACUGCACAGAUGUUACGGCCAUAAAAGAAACUUCACAACUGAGAGCCCAUACCUCCAACAACCUUCAACAGGAAUCAAUGGACAUCUACGCAAGGUUUUUCUUUUGUUGAGGACCGUCAGAGACUCCAGCCACACGAGCCAUGGAUUGCUCUCAACAUCACCAUCAGACAGACAUUAUCACAGAACCAGCACCAGCAGACUGCAAAACAAGUUCCUUCAACAGGCAAUCAGACUGAACUGAACUCGUACCAGUAACACCACACACACACACACACACACACACACACACAUACACACACCAGCAGCCUCAUACUGUGUGCACUGCACUCUAUCAGCUACACUGACUGGACUCUGACUCACUAUUAUUCUGCAACCUGAUAUUCUGUUUGCACUAAUUCAUACUGUACUGAAAGUGAAAGUGACGUGACAUACAGUCAAGUAUGGUGACCCAUACUCAGAAUUUGUGCUCUGCAUUUAACCCAUCCGAAGUGCACACACACAGAGCAGUGAACACACACUGUGAACACACACCCGGAGCAGUGGGCAGAGGUAUAUCUACAGUAUACAGUGAUUGUUGUUAAUUGUUUUCAUUUUGUUCUCUCUGUAUAGUAUAGUAUUGCACUAUAUUUUCUACCUGUAUUGAGCUCUUAUGUAUACGGUUUAUAUUUUUGAUACUGUAUAUGUGUUGCAAAUAUAUUCAGUACUUGUCAUGCUGCAGUUUGCAGAAAAGCAUUUUACCACCUGUAUACUUGCAUUCAUGGUAUUGUGAUAAUAAAAUGAUUUGAUUUGAA
Molecule: long non-coding RNA, 2415 nt
Organism: Carassius gibelio (silver crucian carp)
Lineage: Eukaryota; Metazoa; Chordata; Actinopteri; Cypriniformes; Cyprinidae
Exons: 7
Source: RefSeq, a predicted model, not a curated record